CAGCAGCCGCGGUAAUACGAAGGGGGCUAGCGUUGCUCGGAAUCACUGGGCGUAAAGGGUGCGUAGGCGGGUCUUUAAGUCAGGGGUGAAAUCCUGGAGCUCAACUCCAGAACUGCCUUUGAUACUGAAGAUCUUGAGUUCGGGAGAGGUGAGUGGAACUGCGAGUGUAGAGGUGAAAUUCGUAGAUAUUCGCAAGAACACCAGUGGCGAAGGCGGCUCACUGGCCCGAUACUGACGCUGAGGCACGAAAGCGUGGGGAGCAAACAGGAUUAGAUACCCGGGUAGUCCCUGUCUCUUAUAC
RNAcentral lists this ribosomal RNA (301 nucleotides) under uncultured bacterium. RNAcentral's name for it is "partial 16S ribosomal RNA". It matches the Rfam family "Bacterial small subunit ribosomal RNA", at positions 509 to 807 of the family's 1533-position model. The record is from RNAcentral.